This 73-nucleotide transfer RNA is filed under the name Ornithorhynchus anatinus (platypus). It matches the Rfam family "tRNA". Rfam says of the family: Transfer RNA (tRNA) molecules are approximately 80 nucleotides in length. Their secondary structure includes four short double-helical elements and three loops (D, anti-codon, and T loops). The record is from Rfam by way of RNAcentral. Lineage: Eukaryota; Metazoa; Chordata; Mammalia; Monotremata; Ornithorhynchidae.
GUCCGGCUAGCUCAGUCCAAAGAGCAUGAGAUUCUUAACCUCAGGGUCAUGGGUUUGAGCCCCAUGUUGGGCA